This 22-nucleotide non-coding RNA is filed under the name Arabidopsis thaliana (thale cress). The record is from RNAcentral. Lineage: Eukaryota; Viridiplantae; Streptophyta; Magnoliopsida; Brassicales; Brassicaceae.
GCAUAUGAGGUGGCCAUGACGC